UACGUAGGGUCCGAGCGUUGUCCGGAGUUACUGGGCGUAAAGCGCGCGCAGGCGGCGGUGUUGGCCCGGCGUGAAAGCCCCCGGCUCAACCGGGGAGGGUCGUCGAGGACCGCACCGCUUGAGGGCGGUAGGGGCUGGUGGAAUGCCUGGUGUAGUGGUGAAAUGCGUAGAGAUCAGGCGGAACACCCGUGGCGAAGGCGGCCAGCUGGGCCGUCCCUGACGCUGAGGCGCGAAGGCGUGGGGAGCGAACGGG
Molecule: ribosomal RNA, 253 nt
Filed under: uncultured bacterium
Lineage: Bacteria
Description: partial 16S ribosomal RNA
Rfam family: Bacterial small subunit ribosomal RNA
Source: RNAcentral